RNAcentral lists this small RNA (76 nucleotides) under Sinorhizobium meliloti 2011. Its description in RNAcentral is "putative ncRNA". The record is from RNAcentral. Lineage: Bacteria; Pseudomonadati; Pseudomonadota; Alphaproteobacteria; Hyphomicrobiales; Rhizobiaceae.
ACGCCGGCACUUUGGCGACUGGAGAAAAACAGCAGGCCAGCAAAGGGUCCGCCGGUCGGAGCGGACAGAUCGAUGU